Long non-coding RNA from Pseudopipra pipra, 3623 nucleotides. RefSeq lists it as uncharacterized. The record is from RefSeq and is a predicted model, not a curated record. The transcript is spliced from 2 exons. NCBI's taxonomy places the organism in Eukaryota, Metazoa, Chordata, Aves, Passeriformes, Pipridae.
GCCGGCGGGGUUUCCGAGCGGGAGGAGCCGGGCCAGCGCCCAGGGGCCCCGUGGGUGAAGAUUCUGCAUCCGCGCCUUGAAGGUUCUGCAUCCCCGGGCCCCGCACGGUGAGAAGGGCUGAAGGUUCUGCAUCCCCGGGCCCCGCACGGUGAGCAGGGGUGAAAGUUCUGCAUCCCCGGGUCCUGCACGGUGAACAGGGGUGAAGGUUCUGCAUCCCCGAGCCCCGCACGGUGAGAAGGGCUGAAGGUUCUGCAUCCUCGGGCCCCUCACGGUGAACAGGGCUGAAGGUUCUGCAUCCCCGGGCCCCGCACGGUGAACAGGGGGGAAGGUUCUGCAUCCCCGGGCCCCGCACGGCUUAUUUUCCCACCUGUCCUGCGGCAAAAGAUGCACAUAAAAACAAUUAACAUACAGGUUUGAUGGUGAUGGGACAUCAGAGGAACACUUGCAUGCAUAGAAACAACUGGCAAUGAGAGCAGUAAGUGUGAAGUAUGAAACAGCACAAAAUAAUUCAAGUUGCAGUUUAAAAUGUUACUGUUAUGCACAAACCCUCCACCACUUAAACUUUACAGUGUUCAGAGUAGAAAAUAAACGUAAAAAAAAAUAAUUUGGUUUAUAUGGCCAUAGGUGACUUCUUUUAAAGCCUGAACUGCUCAUCUGCCCUGAAAAUGUUCCUGAGUAGCUGUUCAAACAGGCCACUUCCUAUGUGUGGUGUCCAAAGUGUAUUCCUUCAAAAUCCACUGUUGGGAAUCACUUUUCUCACUCUCUAAAGAGAACUAAAGGAUAUUCUAUUUACAGAAUGCAAACAAACACAUAGAAUAUAAAUAAACAUGCAGAAUGUAAAUAUAUCUAAAUAUAAUUCGAAUUUUUUAAGUUGAUAUUAAAAAAAUGAAAAUUCAGACUGAGGCUUGAGGACUGUGACACAUCAAAUAAAUAUCUCUCCUGUAUACCAUAUCCCUGCAGCUUUUCCCUUGCAGCAGCAGAACUCACCUCUCUGACAUCCAGUAACUACUUAGCAGGUAGGAGAGUGGAAUUGUGACAACCACCUUAAAAUUUUAUGUGUCUCUGUUUAGUCCUUUGGAGUUUCUCCAGUGGGGUUUAAUGGAAAUUUAUAUUCACCUUGACAUUAAACUACACUGACUUCUCGUAGCCAAUUUCUGUUUAGGAGUUCACAGUGGUUUUUUUGCUAAAGCAGACUUAAUUGGUGACUGAAUCCAUUUUUUGGAUUUCCAGAAGCAUAUGGACAACCAGAUGUGGCAAAGUACAAAUUAAGCACACAUUGGGCUUCUGUUUUUCAUGCUGAAGGUUGCUGAAGAUUUCAUUUCACUGUUCUCACCACUGUGCUGAACUGAUCAUUAACGUUCGUCACACAAAGCCCCCUGACACAGUGUACACUCACAACUCACUGCCUCCACAAAUGGCACAGAAAACAUUUAUUUAAUUAGACUCUACAGGAAAUCCUCAUCUAUCUUGAUUCCUUGGCUGCCUCUUCAGUGCAGUGAGCUAGGAAACACUAACUUAGAGAGAAAUAAAGAUUGUUAUUAUUAUCAAUCAUAGAAAAUGGAAGAAACCAUGUACCAUGUAUUACGAGAGCACAGAUAUAUGUAUAUGUGUAUAAACCAUGCUGUUGUCAGUUCUUACCAAGCCCAAGGCUUGAAAAAGCGCAUUGCUUCCCUUAAUUUUUGGGUUUGUGGUAGCUGAACUUCAGUAAUGCACUCAGCAAGGCCAGCUGCUAUCAGGCAUAUUAUCUGUUCUGUUAGCAGUCAUUAAAUAUGCUUGGACCAUAAUUGCUACUGUGUUUGGAUCCCAAGACAACCUGGUCAGAGCCCUCUCUGGUUGCAAGCACCCAGGGGUAUUUUCAGAGAUGCUGCUGUAUUUUUCUGGCCCCUUUUUCUGUACUUCCUUGAAAGUGCAUUUUGUGAAACUCACUUGGCAGUUGUAAAGGUUUGAUGUGCUCUAGUGAAAUUAUUUUGCCUUAGUCUUACGUGACACUUGCUGAGUUAUUCCUUCUCUGUGCUAACUUACUUUGUGCUGCACAGUCACAUACCAAAAAGACCUGAGAAAGUAAGACCUGAUGUUAAUCCUGUGGGAUUUCAGUGGAACUGGGAAACAGCUUAGUCCAAGCUUGUGGCCUGUGAGCCAGGAUUCACAAAUGCUCUGAAAGUCAGUUCUCUGCUGCAACGUUGUAUUGUUGCAUUUAUCAGUGCAGCAUCAAUUUCUUUAACAAUGAAAUUUCCUGUUAUCCAGCCUUUGAGUUAGUUUUGUUGUAUGAAUCUGAAAAAGAAAAUAAAUCUCUUGUUUAUUAUGAGAGAGGCCCGGCUCUCCCUGCAGGAAAGCAGCCCCAGACUCAAACUAAGAGAGAUACAGCCUGGUGAUGUUAUCACUCUGCAGCCAAGAAGUGAAGCAACAAGACAACACUACGUGGUCAUUCUUGUUUGCAUGUGAAUUAUAGAAAGAGAACUCUGCAAGAAUUGUCACAGGAGUCUGAGCCAGGGGUUUUGGUGAGUACUUUGCAGAGCAGAUAUUGGAGGCUUCAGAGGGGGCCCCUGGGAUCACUGUCAGAACAGCCCUUGAAAUCCGGGUGGGAAUAUUGGGUCAACCCCCUCCCCCCCCCAAAACUGCUCUGCAUCUUUGCCUCUUAGCCAUGAAAGGAAUUUCCAGUCUCUAACAGAUUCUCAAGCUGUUAAUUGUUAUUAACUCUCUUGUGGUUUUUCCCCUCAAAAUCGCUGUGAUGAUUAUGGGACAGGCACCAAAUGAUCCUAAAACACUCCUGACAUCUAACUAGAAAGGAUAGCACUUUGCAUUCACAAAAAUUUCAAGAGUUUUUUGAUUUGACUUGCAUUUGGGGAGGGAUUUGCCUUUUAUUUUACUAGGAAUUAAAUUUCUCUGCCUGAGUACUGUUUAUGUGGCCGAAGAGACAACCUGAAGAAACCCAAAAUGAAAAAAUACAUGGUACUCCCUGGCAUUUGUGGUCACUAUAAAAACAAGCUGUGAUGCAAACUGGUGCUUCUGAACUAGAGCAAAAGUUCAAGCAAACAAAUUGGCAUUUUGUAUAAUUUCCCUGUGGGAAAAAUGGAUCAGUCAUUCAGUGAUGCAGGAGAGAGGGAACUAAGGAGGAGGGUGCUGGUGAUGAAAAAUGAGGCUACUUGAGGUGUUUAACAUGGACAUAGAGGUUGAAAUUCCCAAACUGGUACUUUGCAUCAGGUACAACUGCAUCACCUUUUAUAAUCACCUCCUAUCUCCCUCAGCACAUCCUACUUUUUUUUUUUUGUUUUGCUGGCAUCUUACUUUACAUGUAUGAAAAUUUAGUUCCUUGCCCUGGCAUGUACUCUCAAAAAAAAACCCCAAGUCCCUUUUUUUCUUACUCUAAGAUAUGUGUAGUUUGAUUGUUUCUUUGUUCUGGAAGAGGUGAAAGUGCAUCAUAUCUUUGAAACUACUCAGAGCAAAACCACAUCAUUUUGUGCUUUCUUCCUUUUUCGGGUUCCUGUUAUUCCUGCAAGCCUGGCAUUAUACCCUGCAGAAAAUCAUGGUGUUUGAAAAAUAAUCUUCAAGGUAAAUACUUAAUCUAGGCAGUCUUGUUCCGAAUGCUUGACUGAUUUUAAUGAAAAUAACAUUAAUAAAAUUAA